RNAcentral lists this ribosomal RNA (301 nucleotides) under uncultured bacterium. RNAcentral's name for it is "partial 16S ribosomal RNA". It matches the Rfam family "Bacterial small subunit ribosomal RNA", at positions 509 to 807 of the family's 1533-position model. The record is from RNAcentral.
CAGCAGCCGCGGGAAUACGUAGGUGGCAAGCGUUGUCCGGAAUUAUUGGGCGUAAAGGGCUCGCAGGCGGUUUCUUAAGUCUGAUGUGAAAGCCCCCGGCUCAACCGGGGAGGGUCAUUGGAAGCUGGGAAACUUGAGUGCAGAAGAGGAGAGUGGAAUUCCACGUGUAGCGGUGAAAUGCGUAGAGAUGUGGAGGAACACCAGUGGCGAGGGCGACUCUCUGGUCUGUAACUGACGCUGAGGAGCGAAAGCGUGGGGAGCGAACAGGAUUAGAUACCCGCGUAGUCCCUGUCUCUUAUAC